This 937-nucleotide long non-coding RNA is filed under the name Homo sapiens (human). RNAcentral describes it as "HSALNT0293158". The record is from RNAcentral. Lineage: Eukaryota; Metazoa; Chordata; Mammalia; Primates; Hominidae.
UUCUCCUAGGAUUGGCAAACACAAAUCAUGUUCCAAGUUCUGCCUUCCACCUGAGUGAAAUACAUCACCGCUUUCCCUGCUCCCGCCGCCAUUAAAAUUGUGUUUGGCAUCUGACCACCAAGAUACAGAUAUUUCCUAGACUGUUUUGCAGCUAGGUACUUAGAAGUUUUUCUAAGUUAUUUAAACUUCUCACCACACAAAAUCUGGAUUUGUAUCUGUCACGUAGUAAUUGCUUGAUAAAUCAUUUCUCUUUCCUCUGGAGAAAAAUAUCUGCUUUCUUUAAAAUAAAUGUUCCAUCCAUGCAGCUAAGCAGCUAAGGACACGAACAGCCACUGAUACAGGCCAACUCAUCAGUAGAUUAUUGAGGAAUCAUUCUCUUCAGUCAGAUCACGAUUUGAGUUUGAACUAACCAGAGAGUAGCAGAAGGAACGUUUUCUCAUUUCCAUGUCCAGAAAGAUAUAUUCCUGCUACCCUCCUGAAGUCAGAGGAUGAAAUCAUAGUCAAUACAUCUUUGCAGAUAAACUAUUAGAUUUCAUACUAGGACCUUUCAUUGGCUGAACAAAGACAAAGACAGAAAUCAAGGAAGGUCAAAGAAGCAGUCAGUUUUCUGGCACCCAAAGUUGUUGGAGAAGGGUACAGAGUCGGUAAAUAAGUCAUAUGACAGACAGGCAGUAUUUUCUUAUUUUAAUAACAAGUUUAAAAAUCCCACUUCUUGUACUUACCUUCUGUCUGACGUCAUCAGUAUUUUAAAAUGCCAACUGGGAUCAAGUUCAACACUGCAUUACUGAAGAAUCCAGAUUAUCUACAUUUCAAGUGCCAAAUGAAAGAAAGAACCCAGAAAAUAAAACAAUAUGAUGAUAACAGUAAAAUUUUUUAAAAUGAAAUUUAUGGUCUAAAUCCUGAUCAUUAAUGGUUAUUUCAUAUUGAAGCAAUGAGG